UGUUCGUGAUAAAGAUUAUUGAAAUGAUCUCAAUGAUAUUUUGCAGGAAUUCAUUAUAUUUGCUUCAUAAACUGGCAGUCUUUGUCAUAAGGUUGUCUGAGCAAAUCCAAAUACUGAUUUUCAUCAAUUUUAGCUGAUUUUUAAUAAAUAUGAGAAAAACCUAACCAAUAAUAAGCACUUUCAUUAGACACAUAUCGAAUCUCAUGUACGUAUUAUGUGGCGGGUCUGUAAAACUUUGCCUAUCAGUUGUCGAUGGUAGGUUACAUACCUAUCAUGGUCACAGCAGUAAUAGGAAAUCAAUGUUCAGUUCCAUAGAGGGAGCCCAAGAAAUGGCUACCACAUCCAAGGAAGGCAGCAAGUGCACAAAUUACCUAUUCUCAGAAUGAGGAGGUAGUGACAAAAAAAUAACCAUAUGAGACUCUUUUGAGACCCCGUAACUAAAAUGAACACACUCUAAAUCCCUUAACGGGGAUCAGUCAGAAGGUAAGUCUGGUGUUAGGAGAUGUGGUAAUUCCAGCUCCAAUAGCA
Molecule: non-coding RNA, 528 nt
Filed under: Stegodyphus mimosarum
Lineage: Eukaryota; Metazoa; Arthropoda; Arachnida; Araneae; Eresidae
Description: Eukaryotic small subunit ribosomal RNA
Rfam family: Eukaryotic small subunit ribosomal RNA
Source: Rfam by way of RNAcentral